RNAcentral lists this unclassified non-coding RNA (358 nucleotides) under soil metagenome. RNAcentral's name for it is "partial contains 5.8S ribosomal RNA, internal transcribed spacer 2, and large subunit ribosomal RNA". The stretch from base 1 to 120 matches the Rfam family "5.8S ribosomal RNA", at positions 35 to 154 of the family's 154-position model. The record is from RNAcentral.
GAUGAAGAACGCAGCGAAAUGCGAUAAGUAAUGUGAAUUGCAGAAUUCAGUGAAUCAUCGAAUCUUUGAACGCACAUUGCGCCCGUCAGUAUUCUGGCGGGCAUGCCUGUUCGAGCGUCAUUACGCCCCUCAAGUCCCCUGUGGACUUGGUGUUGGGGAUCGGCGAGGCUGGUUUUCCAGCACAGCCGUCCCUUAAAUUAAUUGGCGGUCUCGCCGUGGCCCUCCUCUGCGCAGUAGUAAAACACUCGCAACAGGAGCCCGGCGCGGUCCACUGCCGUAAAACCCCCCAACUUUUUAUAGUUGACCUCGAAUCAGGUUGGACUACCCGCUGAACUUAAGCAUAUCAAUAAGCGGAGGA